Molecule: non-coding RNA, 106 nt
Organism: Asterophora parasitica
Lineage: Eukaryota; Fungi; Basidiomycota; Agaricomycetes; Agaricales; Lyophyllaceae
Source: the annotation of a GenBank genome assembly
AGUGAAAUGGCCAAGCAGUCUAAGGCACCAGACUAAGGACCAAUGCAUAGGAUGUGUAACCUCAAUCUAGUCAUUUGUGGCAUGGGUUUGAAUCCCACUCUCAUCA